CAGUGCUGGAAUACAUCCAGGACUUCUCAAACUAUAAUUAACAGACAUUUGGCAGAAACCCACAGGCUGCAGGCAGUUCCUCCCAGGACUGUUACCUGCUCCUGCCCAGCAGGAAUUUAUUCCAUGACUUUUGUCAGGGGCUGACAGACAGGACCAAACUCUAGACCAGUGGUCAGCACUUCAGCUGCAUGAAGCUGUUUGCCUUGCCCAUUCUUCUACUCCUUCAGACCUGUCAUAACCACUGAAAGCUGCAGUAUUUUUGAAGUAAGAACCUCUUCUUUUGAGGUAUCUUCAUAAGAGAACAUGAUGACAGGGAAAUCUGCCAGGUCCGGAUCAACUGGGAAGGCAGAAGAGCUAGAGCUGCACACUAAAUGGGCAGAUUUUGUUAAAAAAGUUCACCCACUCAAUUUGGAAAUGUUCAGCUCCAGUGAAGUGGUAUUAUAAUGAAGAUUGCAUUUUACUUAUUAACACAAAGUGACUUAGUUAGCAAUUAAUUAUUGUAACUAUAACAACAUUCUGCUCACAUCUGUAUGUAUCAACUUUCAGCCUGAAGUUACUGUUCAUGCUGUGUUGCUGAAAUAAAUACUGCCAUAAAAAUG
Passer montanus (Eurasian tree sparrow) is the source of this 599-nucleotide long non-coding RNA. RefSeq lists it as uncharacterized. Lineage: Eukaryota; Metazoa; Chordata; Aves; Passeriformes; Passeridae. The record is from RefSeq and is a predicted model, not a curated record. The transcript has 3 exons.